AGUGAACGCUGGCGGUAGGCCUAACACAUGCAAGUCGAACGGCAGCACAGUAAGAGCUUGCUCUUACGGGUGGCGAGUGGCGGACGGGUGAGGAAUACAUCGGAAUCUACUUUUUCGUGGGGGAUAACGUAGGGAAACUUACGCUAAUACCGCAUACGACCUACGGGUGAAAGCAGGGGAUCUUCGGACCUUGCGCGAUUGAUUGAGCUGAUGUCGGAUUAGCUAGGUGGCGAGGUAAAGGCCCACCAAGGCGACGGUCCGUAGCUGGUCUGACAGGAUGAUCAGGCACACUGGAACUGAGACACGGUCCAGACUCCUACGGGGGGCAGGAGUGGGGAAUAUUGGAGAAUGGGCGCAAGCCUGAUCCAGCCAUAGCGCGUGGGUGAAGAAGGCCUUCGGGUUGUAAAGCCCUUUUGUUGGGAAAGAAAAGCAGCAGGUUAAUACCCCGCUGUUCUGAAGGUACCCAAAGAAUAAGCACCGGCUAACUUCGUG
Molecule: ribosomal RNA, 492 nt
Filed under: uncultured bacterium
Lineage: Bacteria
Description: partial 16S ribosomal RNA
Rfam family: Bacterial small subunit ribosomal RNA
Source: RNAcentral